GAAAAAAAAACAGAGACGGUUAUAGCACCCACGCACGACUCCUCAGUGAAAAGUGAAAACUGAACACUGAGCCAAAAUCCUCCAACACAGAUCCCUCUCUCCGCCUCGUUACGCGCCUGAACCGCCGCUGGCCUCCGGGCACCACCGUCGUCGCCUUGCGCGGCUGCAUCGCAGGGGGACUGCCGACCGCGCCUCGAGAAGCAGUGGCGAGAAGGCUGUCGUGGGCUCCGUGAGGGAAGCCACCUCCACCUGUUCGCCAAGGCCGACACUGCCUCGAUCAAUUGAGAUCAGCGACCCGCAUCAGACUACAUCACUAGGAACAGCCGGGACAAGGGCCAUGGCCGCGUCGGCCUCUGCUGGUUUUAGACAGUAUAAAUUUCCAAUUUCUGUACGCCCUUGUUUUUGUUUCGAUUUGUAGGAUCUACUAAAUUUUCAGGUCGACUGAAACUAUAGCUGGCGCAAGCCCAAGCCAGCAGCAGGACAACCUGCAGCUUAGUAGCGGUUCAGAUCGGAAUAGGAGAGUUCCCUUUGCAUCCUGGAAAUCUGUCAAUUCUGGAUUGACCCCAGAUUGAUCGGGUCAUAUGAUACUAAGAUUAGAGUUCUGCUGCCCUGAUGGUUCCUUUCCGUUUGUUUGAAUUAUAGUCUCCAGUAUAUAAGGUGCUAUAGGUGGUCACGUUUUUAUGAAUCUUUUCAGCCGUCUGCUUUAAAAUCUUUUGCAUGGAAUUGACUUCGCAAUGUGUUGUCAUACAAUUGUCAUGUUCAAAGAACUUGUUGAAUACUGAUAAAUCACAAUUAGUUUGUGAGUAUUGUAGAGAACAUGAUGUUUGUGCAGUUGUGCUUAGAACAUGGGAAAAGAAAACAUGAGAUUGAGACUUCCACUUGUUACUUAUUUUGCUCUGCUAUGUUAUAGGGUGUCGAAGGCAUGUGACUUAUAUCAUUUUCUAAAACUUUCCCUUCAGAUUCGAUGUGUGGCCCUCGGUUCUGCUCACCAUGCAAUUCUUCAGCAGUUUCAUCGCAGUGUUACAUAAUCCGGAAGAAGGUUGCAGGGCAGAAAAUACAUACAUGACGUGGGGCAUUUCACCAUAGAAGAGCAUUCAUUGAUAUAAUUAAUCCAGGUAAAGAGUGAACCAGUAGCCAAGGACUUGCACUAUGUUGCUUGAGAAGGUAAAUAUCUUAAAGGUUUCUUUGUUUUGACUUCUCCUCACUAGCAUUUGCAUGCCUAACUUAAUUCAUAGCUGAAGCUCGUGAUUCUUUUCUGCUCUCUUUCAGAUAAUUUUGCUGAUAUCCACAUUUCACAGGUUAGUACCAAUUCUUGGGUUCACAAUGAAUCUUGUCAGUGGGAGCUAGAAUAAGAGUUUGAGGUGAUCAAAUGUACACAAACUUGAAGUUACAUUGAUUUUUACGGAAUUAGUUGUGACUUGUGACUCAAUAUGGUAUUGUCAUGUGUUACAUUGCAUGUGAUAGAUUGUGUCAUGAGGCCAUAUUAUUGAAAUGUUGACUCAGAUGCAUUAUAUCUAAGCACCAUGAACUUUGUUUACCUAAUGAUGACAUACAUACAAACACAAUGGCCUAUAAAACCUAUUUAUUAACAUGAUUACUAUAAAUAAAAUCCCUCUAACCUUCUGUUCAUUAAGGUACUGGGACCUUGAUAAGCUCAGCCAACACAUGUUCAGCAACUUUCUGAGCGCUGGUAAAUUAUGGAUGUUUUUACAUUAUGAAGAUGUGUAUAGGUUGGGAACAUGCGGUGGUGAUGGCAGGUAUGGUUGAUACGUCAUCCGCUCCAUGUCCCGCAAGAAAAAUCUCACGGAACAGCAGGACCGCCCAAAAAAAACCAGGAGAAAAACUGUCCACUUCCCACCCACGCAUGCCAAGAGCCCACGAUCCCCUCACAAGUUCUAUCCAUUGCCAGUUCACCACUGCCACGCUGAUUGCUUCGAUGGCACAAGACCAUGCCACCCUCCACUCCGGUGUGGCCUCCAAGAAUGUCAUCCUUAACCUCACGGCGAGCAUCUCCGCCUGCCUCUACCGCCCCUCGCCGCGUUGGACCCAGGUAUGAUGCUCCUUGUUGUCUUCUUCUACGGUGGCGAUUUCCUGUCCACACCACUGCUAUACUACUCUUCACAGCCUCCCUCGCCAUUGUAGUUCCUUCCGUCAUCGUCUCCGUCGACUAUCGUCUCGCCCCGGUGCAGCACAACAAGGAGAUCUAAGGAGGUCCUUCUCAAGGAGCUCAUCGCCUGCAGGUUGGGAGGACAAUAGUGAUGGGCAUGGUGAAGCGGCCUUCGACUCUUGUCUCGCGCGCCUCCAUCAUUGGUGAUAAAGAUAUGUGCAGCUUCUCCCCAGGCCUUGCGCAGGCCCUCUGUCCUCCUAACUCCCAACUCUUCAGUCCCCUCACCUCUCAAGUUCUCCCGGUCGACUCCUAGCUCACCAUUUUCCAAUGGAAUACCCUCGUUGUCAAGGAUGUCCUGGGUCGUCUCCCAUGGACUGAAUGCUACAGAAAGCGAGCUGCAAGAACAUAUCAUACUCAUACGCAUUGGCUUUCUAAUCUGAGGUAGGAGGAAGACUGGGACGUCAAGCACAAGGGGAAGACCUGGAGGAACUCGAGCGAGUAACAAAGUGAAGAACUUUAGGGUCUUGGGAGUAGAGAAGGGCUGUUUAUGUACAUUUUCCCAUCACGUGUUCAUGAAAAUGAAUGUUUGACA
This is an RNA transcript of Lolium perenne, 2699 nucleotides long. RefSeq lists it as uncharacterized. The record is from RefSeq and is a predicted model, not a curated record. NCBI's taxonomy places the organism in Eukaryota, Viridiplantae, Streptophyta, Magnoliopsida, Poales, Poaceae.